UCACGGUGGCCAGGGCCAGGUCAGCGGCUCCCAGGGCCGCGAGCAACGGCGCCCGCAGUUCUUCGAUGUUCGGAUUGUCAGCCAUGGU
RNAcentral lists this transfer RNA (88 nucleotides) under Mycobacterium simiae. RNAcentral describes it as "tRNA-Trp". Lineage: Bacteria; Bacillati; Actinomycetota; Actinomycetes; Mycobacteriales; Mycobacteriaceae. The record is from RNAcentral.